Molecule: long non-coding RNA, 4566 nt
Organism: Equus caballus (horse)
Lineage: Eukaryota; Metazoa; Chordata; Mammalia; Perissodactyla; Equidae
Source: Ensembl
UCUGACCGCAGCUGGGAAGCGGCUUCACGUUCAGGGCCCUGUGUGCUGACACGGGCGCUGGGAUAAUCCUGGGCGGUCUCCCCAUCUCCAGUGAAUGGACAGUGACGAGUUUGACCCCCUGGGUGUGGAGUCAGACCACCUGCGUUUGCACCUGCUGCCGACAGACCUGCUCCUCACCUCUCUGAAUCCCAGUGUUCUCGUCUGUCACGGGGAGCAGGACUCGUUCCCAGCUUGCAGGUUGGCUGUGUGCACUCAGGAGAUAACCUUGUGACGGGCUUGACACAGCACUUUGUACACACUGGGUGCUCCAGAGAUGCCAGGACUAGAAAUGGCCUGGACAGCUGACUCGUCUGGGGUGGAGUCUGAGCGUACCCUGAAGCAUCCUUGUACAUUUGAAGCUGUUUCCUGGAUGAUUCUCUCUCACCAUGGCAUGUGAGAGAACUUAAGCUUUAAGAGGUUGCGCAAUUCGCUCAAAUUUGUCCAGCUCAAAGUGCAAUCGUGAAGCCUGAAGAUAUUGGAUGCCUUGGAAGAGGAAUACAGCCUUGGAGGCACAGCCUGGGGAUGUCUUACUAUGACCUUUCACUCCUUCCUAAGCCAAGAAAAGAAAGUGGGUCCAACUGGCUGUUAGAAAAGCUUCCCCAAAGGUUUGGAUAAACUGAGUGGUUUCAGGCACCCUGUGACCCUGCAGGCAGGCUGCAAUGUGGCUGUCCCCGCCAUGGGGAGAGAGUCUUGUUUUCCUCCCCAGCAGAGCUGGGCUGGGGUUUCUGAUAGUGUUUGACUUAGCAAGUCUCCGCAUGAGCCGCUGAUCUGGUGUUGGAACAAAGCAGCAGGGAGGGAGGCCCCGCGUGGAUGAGUCAGGCGGAGACGAGGCCUCGUUUCUUGUUGAACGCUGUCCCCCUCCAGCUAUGUGCUUUUCCCCAACAGCCAAGCUUGGUCCGCACAAGUCUGGGCUGCCCUCUCCCCACCAAGGCAAACCCUGUCAAUAGCAGGAGAGAAAAAAAGGCCACGACUACACGUGAGAAGCUGUGCUUUCAGGGGAGGAUCAAGAGCCCUUCACCUCGCCCAACACUGUUUGCAUUUUGUAGAACAAACACUGGAGUUUAAGUUACAUCCUCGAAUUCAAUAUUUGGCAUGGGAUAAUAAUCGCUGGUGACUUCUCCACGUGGUGCCAGCUGGGCCGAGUACCAGGUGAGCAAGACAGGGCCGUUCCCUGUUUUCAAGGAGUUACAGCCUGUGGGGGAGACAGAACAGUACCCAAGCGCUUGGAGUCGAGGAUGGUCAUUGUUACGAGAUGGAGGCCGUCUAGUUUGAUUGUAUUGAGCUGAGCUGCACAACUGAGAUGCAUCCAAGAACAGUGGCUUCUCCUCCAGGACCCCGGGAGCCCUGCUGGCCCUGCAAUUUGGGAACAUUUAUAACCAGUGUCUUCCUGGCCACAUCGUAGUAUGACCUUUGGAAAUGCCACUUUCUCGAAUAAUAAAAUGAAGGGAAAAAUUUCCUCUCUUCUACCUACCAAAUGGGACAUUUGGAUAAUUUUCAAGAGAAAAAGAUCUGCUCCCAAAAGUGACACUUUGCUUGUUUAUUCAGCAACUACUCAUUGAGUAUCUCUUGGAUCCUGGGUGUGCUGUGUAUUGUGAAUAUAGCAAUGCUCAGGGAGAAAAACCCUGGGUAGUUAAUUAUGCAGAAACCCUUCUAUUACAAUUACGUAAAUGCGUCCAAGGAAACGCUCAGUUUAUAAGAAGAGUGUGUGCUGGGCAAGUGGCUGGGGAAGAAGUAUGACAUCCUGGGGCUGACGGAUAGUAAGAAGACCCUCUCUGGGACGCCGCUUAUUGCUGCUGGUGCACCAAAGGAGACGAGGGAGCAAUCUUUGAGCGAGAAGAGAGAAGCAAGCGCGGACAACAUGUGGCUGUUAAGAGCCCAGAGACCUUCUCGUCAGGACGCAGUGCUUCCUUCAGACCACGUGGUCAGAACACCGUUUCUUAAAGUGUGGUCCGUGUACCAUCUACCUCAGAGUCCCUGGGAUGCUUGUUAAAUCUGAAGGUUCCCAGACUCCGAUCCACUGAAUCCCAAUGCGGGUGCAUCAGGAGUCAGCAUUCUGAACUAGCUCCCUGGCGAUUUUUACACACUCGAUGAUUUGAGGACUUUUGCACUGAUUUAGAUGCUCGUGUAUGAGACCCUCAAGUGACCUCUGCGCCCUUUCGCUUUUGUCUCUGAAUCAAGUCUGGGAUUACUUCACAGGGAACAUAAAGGAAAGUCACCAGUCAGGCAUUUGGAAGCAGCGAGGAGCCAACUUCAUUCUAGGUGAAAUUGAAAUCUUCACAGUGUGGAAAAGUGGAAAGAGAACUGAACUGGAAACCGUAACUUUUGUUUGAGUUUGGCUCUGUCACUCACUAUGUAUGGCCAUGGAAAGUAAUUUCUCCUCUCUCGUUGUUUGCUUGUUCAUAAAAUGAUAGCAUUUUCCAAACUUCAGUCAACGGAGUACCACCUUCAAAAUUGCAUCACCUGUGCUGUUAGAAAUAUUUUUCUUUUAAUAAUUACUUGAGUUUAAUUUGAAAAGGAGCUUUAUAUCAUUACUAUAAAUGGAGAACCAAUCAUCACUUACUAUAAUUAGAAAGUCAUACCUGUAAAAUAUAUAACAAUUAAAAAAUUUAGGGGGCUGGCCCCAAGGUGCAGUGGUUAAGUUUGCACACUGUGCUUCAGCAGCCCGGGGUUCACAUGCUUGCAUCCUGGGUGCAGACCUACAUGCUGCUCAUCAAGCCAUGCUGUGGCAGGUCCCACAUACAAAAAAAUAGAGGAAGAUUGGCACAGAUGUUAGCUCAGGACCAAUCUUCCUCAGCAAAAAAUAAUAAAAAAAAAUUUUAAUUUAAAAAGUUUAUCCCUGAGGCUCUAAUUAUCAACUGUUAAUGUAUGAUACUGUUAUCAUAUUUUGGGAAACAGCAAAUUAGAUGCUAUUUAAGACCAUUUUCUUUUUUAUAGAUCUAAGUAUUUAUUGGAGUAUCAUGCAAAUGGUUAUUUCAUUAUUUCUGGGAGGAAAAAAAAGUCCAAAUUCAUGAAGCAAUUUCUGAAAAAUCAACCUUGGGUAUUGUUAGGCAAAAAUUCCAUAACAAAAGCUAUGAAAAAACAAUGACCUUUUUUUCUCAAAAAGAAGAAAGCAUUUAAUGCUACUCAAAUCUUUAAUUAAAUGCUUAUAUCAGAUAUACAGUAUUAAAACAAGAAAUAUUUUCCCUAAUUAUAUCUGCUACUUUCAUCUGUUUCUUUUUUCAAAUCAUUAAAACUAGAACAAAUUAGAAAAAAUGUUACAGUGUUAGCAGAAAUGAAAUUCCAAAUCUAUUUACAGUUUACUUAUUGUGCAUCAUUUUUUCCUACUUUAUUGAGAUAUAAUUGAUGUCUAACAAUGUGUAACUUUAAGGUGUACAGUGUGUUGACUUGAUAUACUUACAUGUUGCAAUAUGACCACCAGCACGCAAUAACUACUGGAGUGCUAGCCAACACCUCCAUCACCUCACAUAGUUACCAUUUCUUUUUGUGGUGAGAACAUUUAAGAUCUAAUCUCUUAGCAACUUUCGAGUACACAGUACAGUAAUCUGUGCUAUAAAAGAUGACAGUUCUGGCAGAAAUGAAAUUCCAAAUCUAUUCACACUAUACUGAUGGUCCCUCAUUUUUCCCAGCCUUAUUGAGAUAUAAUUGACAGAAGUGGGGUUGCUGGAUCAUAUGAUAGCCCUAUUUUUAGUUUUUUGAGGAAACUCUAUAUUAUUUUCCACAAUGUGUGUACCAAUUUACAUUCCCACCAAAGGUGCACAAGGCUGCUCCUUUCUCCACAUCGUCACCAACACUUAUUUCGCGUCUUUUUGAUGACAGCCGUUCUAACAGGUGUGAGGUGAUGUCUCAUUGUGGAUUUGAUUUGCAUUUCCCUGAUGAUUAGUGAUGUUGAGCACCUUUUCACGUAGCUGUUGGCCACUCGUAUGUCUUCUCUGUAAAAUGUCUAUUCAGUUCCUCUGCCAAUAUUUUAAUUGGAUUUUUCUGUUGUUUUUAUUGAGUUGUAUGAGUUCUUUAUAUAUUUUUGAUAUUAGUCCCUUAUCAGAUAUAUGGUUCAGAGCACCUAAAUAUAUUAAGCAGAUACUAACAGGUUUGAAGGGAGAAAUAGACAACAAUAUGAUAUUGGUAGCAGACUUCAGUACCCUGCUUUCAGCAAUGGUUAGAUCAUUCAGACAGAAAUCAGCAAGGAAACCUUGGGCUUGAACCAUGUUUUAGGCCAAAUGGACCUAACAGACAUAUAUAGAACAUGCCAGCCAAUAGCAGCAGAGGGCACAUCCACAUGGGGCCAGAAGUGCUUCUUUCCCCACCCCCUCAGGGGAGACGGGCUGGCUGGAAGGGUCUGCAGUUGGGUAUUUCCCUCCCCCCAGGUAGGUUGGGCUCUGAGACAACGGAGCAGAUUAGGCUCCAGUGAAACAGUUUCUCCUGAGGGCUGGCUUUGUCAGGAACAGAAUAAUCUGGUACAUUUCAAAACAACUCCUUUUCCCCUCCCCCUGCUGGAAGAACAGGGGGUUUUUCUGUGAUAUUCACUCUGAG